This 443-nucleotide ribosomal RNA is filed under the name Holothuria poli. RNAcentral's name for it is "partial 16S ribosomal RNA". It matches the Rfam family "Bacterial large subunit ribosomal RNA", at positions 1966 to 2621 of the family's 2925-position model. The record is from RNAcentral. Lineage: Eukaryota; Metazoa; Echinodermata; Holothuroidea; Aspidochirotida; Holothuriidae.
CAUUUGUCUUUUAAAUGGAGACUCGUAUGAACGGCGAAACCUUUUUCAACUGUCUCCCCUCCCACCCUUUUAAAUUUCUUCCUGUGUGAAGAAGCACAGAUAUAUUAGAAAGACGAGAAGACCCUGUCGAGCUUUAGUCACCAAGUGGACCGCUUCCUUUUAAGGUACCACCUAAAGGCUUUGGUUGGGGCAACCAUGGAGAAAAAAAAUCCUCCAGAACAAAUAGAAGAAAACCUUUCACUAUUUAUCAAACUUAAGAACCAGGAACUGGUAUUCGGAAAAAGUUACCGCAGGGAUAACAGCGUCAUCUCCUCUAAGAGUCCUUAUUGACGAGGAGGUUUGCGACCUCGAUGUUGGAUUGGGGCCCCCUUAGGGUGCAGAAGCUCUAAACGGUUAGACUGUUCGUCUAUUAAAGCCCUACAUGAUCUGAGUUCAAACCGGAG